AAACUUAGCUCCAACAAUGUGAACAUAGUAUAUAUUUGCUGCAAAAACUUAUGGUUAGUCACAAUAAUACAUUUUGAUGGAAGAUUACUUAUUAAGACAUUUUGUUAGCUUCUAUUACUUUUCUCACAACCAGGAGUUGACACAGGACCAGUUAACUAUUGUAUUCACCCAUAAGAAAAUAAGUCCAAUUGUUCCAAGUGCCUGCUGAACUCUUUCUGCAUAUUCCCCUCAUAGUUUAUGGAUGCAUGAACAAUAUCAUUACAAUGUUGCAAAAUUUUCCAUACCAAAUUUGUUAU
RNAcentral lists this long non-coding RNA (296 nucleotides) under Nicotiana benthamiana. RNAcentral's name for it is "long non-coding RNA (NBEN_LNC019813)". Lineage: Eukaryota; Viridiplantae; Streptophyta; Magnoliopsida; Solanales; Solanaceae. The record is from RNAcentral.